UUGAACGCUGGCGGCAGGCCUAACACCUGCAAGUCGAACGGUAACAGGAAACAGCUUGCUGUUUCGCUGACGAGUGGCGGACGGGUGAGUAAUGUCUGGGAAACUGCCUGAUGGAGGGGGAUAACUACUGGAAACGGUAGCUAAUACCGCAUAACGUCGCAAGACCAAAGAGGGGGACCCUCGGGCCUCUUGCCAUCGGAUGUGCCCAGAUGGGAUUAGCUAGUAGGUGGGGUAACGGCUCACCUAGGCGACGAUCCCUAGCUGGUCUGAGAGGAUGACCAGCCACACUGGAACUGAGACACGGUCCAGACUCCUACGGGAGGCAGCAGUGGGGAAUAUUGCACAAUGGGCGCAAGCCUGAUGCAGCCAUGCCGCGUGUAUGAAGAAGGCCUUCGGGUUGUAAAGUACUUUCAGCGGGGAUGAAGGGAGUAAAGUUAAUACCUUGGCUCAUUGACGUUACCCGCAGAAGAAGCACCGGCUAACUCCGUG
RNAcentral lists this ribosomal RNA (489 nucleotides) under uncultured bacterium. RNAcentral's name for it is "partial 16S ribosomal RNA". It matches the Rfam family "Bacterial small subunit ribosomal RNA", at positions 30 to 507 of the family's 1533-position model. The record is from RNAcentral.